This 449-nucleotide long non-coding RNA is filed under the name Androctonus crassicauda. Lineage: Eukaryota; Metazoa; Arthropoda; Arachnida; Scorpiones; Buthidae. The record is from RNAcentral.
AUUUUUAAAACAUAAUUUUUGAAAAAAAAAAAAAAAUUUUAUUCGCGAUUUCUAGACAAGUUUUCGCCGUUUUACUCUAAGAAUUUCUAAGAUUAUCCUCCAGAAGAAGGAAAACCGGAAUAGUAGAAAAGUGAGGAUAACGGACGGAAGUGCAAAGAGCGCUCUUAUGUCCGAUUUUGUUACAUCUGUGGCCCACAUGUGUUGGUGCCAAUCUAUCCCUGGGGUAGGUGAGGGGGUACCUCUUCACACAAACAUCUAUAUGCUCAAUUCUUUAGAUCUCUCUAAAAUUGGAAUUGCGAAGACAUCAUUUUUUUGCACUACUUUUUUCCUCUUUAUUUUUAUACAUGAUUUAACGAUUAAUGUAAUCGAUACCUCAAGUAGAGUAGUAAUAAAUUGUUACACACUUAUUUUAUCGAUAUAAAUUUAUUAGAAAAAAUAAAAAAGCGUAC